UGGGGAAUAUUGCACGAUGGAGGGAACUCUGAUGCAGCGACGCCGCGUGAACGAAGAAGGCUUUCGAGUCGUAAAGUUCUUUUAUAUGGGAAGAUAAUGACGGUACCAUAAGAAAAAGCCCCGGCUAACUACGUGCCAGCAGCCGCGGUAAUACGUAGGGGGCUAGCGUUGUCCGGAAUCACUGGGCGUAAAGGGUUCGCAGGCGGAAAUGCAAGUCAGGUGUAAAAGGCAGUAGCUUAACUACUGUAAGCAUUUGAAACUGCAUAUCUUGAGAAGAGUAGAGGUAAGUGGAAUUUUUAGUGUAGCGGUGAAAUGCGUAGAUAUUAAAAAGAAUACCGGUGGCGAAGGCGACUUACUGGGCUCAUUCUGACGCUGAGGAACGAAAGCGUGGGUAGCAAACAGG
This 403-nucleotide ribosomal RNA is filed under the name Fusobacteriota bacterium. RNAcentral's name for it is "Fusobacteria bacterium partial 16S ribosomal RNA". It matches the Rfam family "Bacterial small subunit ribosomal RNA", at positions 355 to 776 of the family's 1533-position model. The record is from RNAcentral. Lineage: Bacteria; Fusobacteriati; Fusobacteriota.